Molecule: ribosomal RNA, 272 nt
Filed under: uncultured bacterium
Lineage: Bacteria
Description: partial 16S ribosomal RNA
Source: RNAcentral
CUGCUGCCUUCCGUAGGAGUCUGGUCCGUGUCUCAGUACCAGUGUGGGGGACCUUCCUCUCAGAACCCCUACGCAUCGUCGUCUUGGUGGUCCGUUACACCGCCAACUAACUAAUGCGCCGCAUGCCCAUCCGCCACCGGAUCGCUCCUUUGGCCACCGGAGGAUGCCCUCCGGUGGCGUCACGGGGUAUUAGGCCGCGUUUCCGCGGGUUAUCCCCCUGUGGCGGCCAGGUUGCAUACGUGUUACUCACCCGUGCGCCGGUCGCCGGCGGG